Non-coding RNA from Arachis ipaensis, 1292 nucleotides. NCBI's taxonomy places the organism in Eukaryota, Viridiplantae, Streptophyta, Magnoliopsida, Fabales, Fabaceae. The record is from RefSeq and is a predicted model, not a curated record.
AGCUUCAACUUUUCAAGUUUCAACUCUUCCUCCCAAUUACAAAAAAUUCAAGUCUUUGAUUACUUGCUUGAUUCUCUCCAUUCAUAUCUCUGUUUCAAAUAAUUUUAAUGAGAUGGAUUCUGGUGGUGAUUUAUUUUCAUCAAUGAUAUGAGAUGGAUCCAGCAGAUUAUCUCUUUUUCUUCCACAGAACUUGUAUCGUACAAAUUUUUUUUCCCUGUGAUUUAAAAGAGGGGACCAAUGUGGUUCUGAUUUGAUGUAAAUUUUCUGCCAAAAAUGAUUUGGAGUCAGCCUCUGCAAGUUGCGAUUUAAAGAUCAAGAGUUCCAUAUGUUUCUCUUCAAUAGCACAAAAACAUUUUUCAAGUUCUGUUUGAAGCUCCCUUAUUUCUUGUUCUUUGGUGUUCAGUGUAGACUUGAAAGUACUGAUAUCUGCUUCCAUCUUUUCCACUUGACAACUCCAUUCUGAUUCCUUAGACUUGAGCACCAAGGACUGCAAGAUGCUGAGGUCAACAAUUUGGGAGUCAAAGACGCUCUCUCCAUGUUGAGGUUCUACAAAAGAUCGACGACUUAGAAUUCAGCUGUCUCUCUGCUCCAAGUGACAGUCAGUGAGUGGCAGUAGUGAAGGAAAUUCAUUGAAUCUCUCUCUCUGUUUUUAAUCUCUGCUGCCUUACUUGGUGCUCCAUUGACGAAAAAUCCCAAUAUUUUUGGAGGCCUUCUAACUACUGGCAUUUUGGCUUUCUCUGGAACGUCAUGGCUCCUCGGGUCAAGGGUAAAGGUGUCAAGGGUCAUAGAAGUUCUCGCACCACUGCCGCAGCCGCUAUUUCAACCACCUCCACCUCUUCUGGGACUUCGGUUGUGCCAGAUUUUCAGUCAGGAUCACUUAGCCAGCAACCGUAUUUGAUGGUACCUAAUCCAGGCUACACGGGUCUUCCUCCACCAAGUUGGCCUACUCCAGGAUGUAUGGGUCCCCCUCCUCCACCCCCUCCUCCAAUUUCGAUUCCUCCUCCGCUUUGCAAUUCCAAUCUAUUAGUUGAUUCAGAGACACCUAGAAGCUCUAGUACAUCUCCUCCAUCAGAGACUGCAUCGGUUCCUAAUAGUGUCACAAAAGAAAGAUUGGUUCCCGAUGGAAAAACAAGGUAAAAUUUGGAUCUCUCCAUAAUUAAAAUAGCAGCUUCUAGUGGAUUUCCCAUACUGCAUUACCUAUUUCUCUUAUUACUCUUCUACACAAUUUUUACAUACUGCAUUACCUAUUCCUCUUAUUACUCUUUCAGCAAGCAAUACUAAUCACUCUUCUU